RNAcentral lists this ribosomal RNA (1284 nucleotides) under uncultured bacterium. RNAcentral describes it as "partial 16S ribosomal RNA". It matches the Rfam family "Bacterial small subunit ribosomal RNA", at positions 97 to 1399 of the family's 1533-position model. The record is from RNAcentral.
GGCGGACGGGUGAGUAACGCGUGGGUAACCUGCCUCAUACAGGGGGAUAACAGUUAGAAAUGGCUGCUAAUACCGCAUAAGCGCACAGGACCGCAUGGUCUGGUGUGAAAAACUCCGGUGGUAUGGGAUGGACCCGCGUUGGAUUAGCUAGUUGGUGGGGUAACGGCCUACCAAGGCGACGAUCCAUAGCCGGCCUGAGAGGGUGGACGGCCACAAGGGGACUGAGACACGGCCCUUACUCCUACGGGAGGCAGCAGUGGGGAAUAUUGGACAAUGGACCAAAAGUCUGAUCCAGCAAUUCUGUGUGCACGAUGAAGUUUUUCGGAAUGUAAAGUGCUUUCAGUUGGGAAGAAGAAAGUGACGGUACCAACAGAAGAAGCGACGGCUAAAUACGUGCCAGCAGCCGCGGUAAUACGUAUGUCGCAAGCGUUAUCCGGAUUUAUUGGGCGUAAAGCGCGUCUAGGCGGUUUGGUAAGUCUGAUGUGAAAAUGCGGGGCUCAACUUCGUAUUGCGUUGGAAACUGCCAAACUAGAGUACUGGAGAGGUAGGCGGAACUACAAGUGUAGAGGUGAAAUUCGUAGAUAUUUGUAGGAAUGCCGAUGGGGAAGCCAGCCUACUGGACAGAUACUGACGCUAAAGCGCGAAAGCGUGGGUAGCAAACAGGAUUAGAUACCCUGGUAGUCCACGCCGUAAACGAUGAUUACUAGGUGUUGGGGGUCGAACCUCAGCGCCCAAGCUAACGCGAUAAGUAAUCCGCCUGGGGAGUACGUACGCAAGUAUGAAACUCAAAGGAAUUGACGGGGGCCCGCACAAGUAGCGGAGCAUGUGGUUUAAUUCGAAGCAACGCGAAGAACCUUACCUAGGCUUGACAUCCUUCUGACCGAGGACUAAUCUCCUCUUUCCCUCCGGGGACAGAAGUGACAGGUGGUGCAUGGUUGUCGUCAGCUCGUGUCGUGAGAUGUUGGGUUAAGUCCCGCAACGAGCGCAACCCUUGUCUUUAGUUGCCAUCAUUAAGUUGGGCACUCUAGAGAGACUGCCAGGGAUAACCUGGAGGAAGGUGGGGAUGACGUCAAAUCAUCAUGCCCCUUAUGCCUAGGGCUACACACGUGCUACAAUGGGUGGUACAGAGGGCAGCCAAACCGUGAGGUGGAGCAAAUCCCUUAAAGCCAUUCUCAGUUCGGAUUGUAGGCUGAAACUCGCCUACAUGAAGCUGGAGUUACUAGUAAUCGCAGAUCAGAAUGCUGCGGUGAAUGCGUUCCCGGGUCUUGCACUCACCGCCCGUCA